GCAGAACGCGAAGAACCUUACCUGGCCUUGACAUGUCUGGAAUCCCGAAGAGAUUUGGGAGUGCCGCAAGGAACCAGAACACAGGUGCUGCAUGGCUGUCGUCAGCUCGUGUCGUGAGAUGUUGGGUUAAGUCCCGCAACGAGCGCAACCCUUGUCCUUAGUUGCCAUCAUUAAGUUGGGAACUCUAAGGAGACCGCCGGUGACAAACCGGAGGAAGGUGGGGAUGACGUCAAGUCAUCAUGGCCUUUAUGGCCAGGGCUACACACGUGCUACAAUGGCAAGUACAGAGGGAAGCCAACCGGCGACGGGGAGCUAAUCCCAGAAAACUUGUCUUAGUCCGGAUUGGAGUCUGCAACUCGACUCCAUGAAGUUGGAAUCGCUAGUAAUCGCAGAUCAGCAUUGCUGCGGUGAACACGUUCCCGGGUCUUGUACACACCG
RNAcentral lists this ribosomal RNA (438 nucleotides) under uncultured bacterium. Its description in RNAcentral is "bacterial SSU rRNA". It matches the Rfam family "Bacterial small subunit ribosomal RNA", at positions 954 to 1392 of the family's 1533-position model. The record is from RNAcentral.